AAGUCGUAACAAGGUUUCCGUAGGUGAACCUGCGGAAGGAUCAUUACCGAGUAAGGGUCUUCUAGGCCCGACCUCCCACCCUUUGUUGUCGAACAAAUUCUGUUGCUUUGGCGGGACCGCUCGACCCUCGGAUCGACUGCCGGGUCUCGUACCGGGUAAGUGCCCGCCAAAGUCCAGUCAUAAAACACUUUGUAAAACCUUUUUGUCUGAGUAAAUUGAUAAAUAAAUCAAAA
Molecule: unclassified non-coding RNA, 233 nt
Filed under: plant metagenome
Description: partial contains small subunit ribosomal RNA and internal transcribed spacer 1
Rfam family: Eukaryotic small subunit ribosomal RNA (bases 1-46)
Source: RNAcentral